GACGAACGCUGGCGGCGCGCUUAACACAUGCAAGUCGAACGGAAAGGCCCUGCUUUUGUGGGGUGCUCGAGUGGCGAACGGGUGAGUAACACGUGAGUAACCUGCCCUUGACUUUGGGAUAACUUCAGGAAACUGGGGCUAAUACCGGAUAGGAGCUCCUGCUGCAUGGUGGGGGUUGGAAAGUUUCGGCGGUUGGGGAUGGACUCGCGGCUUAUCAGCUUGUUGGUGGGGUAGUGGCUUACCAAGGCUUUGACGGGUAGCCGGCCUGAGAGGGUGACCGGCCACAUUGGGACUGAGAUACGGCCCAGACUCCUACGGGAGGCAGCAGUGGGGAAUAUUGCACAAUGGGCGGAAGCCUGAUGCAGCAACGCCGCGUGCGGGAUGACGGCCUUCGGGUUGUAAACCGCCUUCGCCUGUGACGAAGCGUGAGUGACGGUAAUGGGUAAAGAAGCACCGGCUAACUACGUG
This 468-nucleotide ribosomal RNA is filed under the name uncultured bacterium. RNAcentral describes it as "partial 16S ribosomal RNA". It matches the Rfam family "Bacterial small subunit ribosomal RNA", at positions 28 to 507 of the family's 1533-position model. The record is from RNAcentral.